This 2208-nucleotide ribosomal RNA is filed under the name human metagenome. RNAcentral describes it as "bacterial LSU rRNA". It matches the Rfam family "Bacterial large subunit ribosomal RNA", at positions 14 to 2312 of the family's 2925-position model. The record is from RNAcentral.
AGAGCGUAGGGAGAAUGCCUUGGCAUUAGGAGCCGAUGAAGGACGUGAUAAGCUGCGAUAAGCUGCGGGGAUCAGCAAGUAUGAAUUGAUCCGCAGAUUUCCGAAUGGAGCAAUCCGUAUGUGUAUGCACAUACAUCAUAUACUGAAUCAAAUAGGUAUAUGAGGGGAACCGCCUGAACUGAAACAUCUAAGUAGGGCGAGGAAGAGAAAUCAACUGAGAUUCCGUAAGUAGUGGCGAGCGAACGCGGAAGAGGCCAAACCUAAUGUAGUAAUAUGUUAGGGGUUCGGACAGUAAAAUGAAUUGUCGAGAUUUAGCCGAAUGUCAUGGGAAGGGCAAUCAAAGAAGGUGAAAAUCCUGUAGGCGAAAAGUUAAGACAUCAGACUGUAUCCAGAGUACCGCCGGACACGUGAAACCCGGUGGGAAUAUGGGGGGACCAUCCUCCAAGCCUAAAUACUACCCAGUGACCGAUAGCGUAUAGUACUGUGAAGGAAAGGUGAAAAGGACCCCGGGAGGGGAGUGAAAUAGAACCUGAAACCCUGUGCUUACAAGCACCGAGAGCCCGUCAAAGGGUGAUCGGGUACUUUUUGUAGAACGGUCCGGCGAGUAUAUGGAACAAGCAAGGUUAAGGUCUUCAGGACCGCAGCCGAAGGGAAACCAAGUCUUAAUAGGGCGCACAGUUUGUUUCAUAUGACCCGAAACCGGGUGACCUAUCCAUGUCCAGGUUGAAGUGGCGGUAAAACGCCAUGGAGGACCGAACCAACCCCCGUUGAAAAGGUGGUGGAUGAGGUGUGGAUAGCGGAGAAAUUCCAAUCGAACUCGGAUAUAGCUGGUUCUCCCCGAAAUAGCUUUAGGGCUAGCGUUGUGUUAGAUUACCGGAGGUAAAGCACUGAAUGGUUUAGGGGCUGAUAAAGUUACCGACGCCUAUCAAACUCUGAAUGCCGGAUAAUUGAUGCACAGCAGUCAGACAGUGUGAGAUAAGUUUCAUUGUCAAAAGGGAAACAGCCCAGACCCACAGCUAAGGUCCCAAAUGUAUGUUAAGUGGAAAAGGAUGUCCAGUUGCACAAACAACCAGGAUGUUGGCUUAGAAGCAGCCACACAUUCAAAGAGUGCGUAACAGCUCACUGGUCGAGUGACCGGGCGCCGAAAAUGUAACGGGGCUAAACAUACAACCGAAGCUUGGGCUGCACAGCAAUGUGCGGGGUAGGGGAGCGUUGUGUGCGGGGAGAAGCACGAGCGGAAGCGCGUGUGGACUGCACAGAAGUGAGAAUGCCGGAAUGAGUAGCGCGAAUUAUGUGAGAAUCAUAAUGGCCGAAAGCCUAAGGUUUCUGGAGGAAGGUUCGUCCGCUCCAGGUUAGCCGGGAGCUAAGGUGAGGCCGAAAGGCGUAGCCGAUGCACAUACGGUGGAGAUUCCGUAGCCAUCAAAAGAUUUAAGCAGAGGGACACAGUAGAAGGGUACAUGCCGGGCGUUGGUAGCCCCGGUUGCAAGGGACCGAAAUUAGAGUAGGGAAGAUGGACUUGGAUACUGGCGAGAAAAGCUCUGUGGAUAUCUGCGAUGCCCGUACCGCAAACCGACACAGGUAGGUAGGAAGAGGAUUCUAAGGCCAACGGGAGAAGGGUUGUUAAGGAACUCGGCAAGUUGACCCCGUAACUUCGGAAUAAGGGGUGCUCAGGAAACUGAGCCGCAGAGAAUAGGUCCAGGCGACUGUUUAGCAAAAACACAGCUCUAUGCUAAAUCGGAAGAUGAUGUAUAUGGGGUGACGCCUGCCCGGUGCUGGAAGGUUAAGAGGAGGAGUGAGAGCCCCGAAUCGAAGCCCCAGUAAACGGCGGCCGUAACUAUAACGGUCCUAAGGUAGCGAAAUUCCUUGUCAGGUAAGUUCUGACCCGCACGAAAGGCGUAAUGAUCUGGACACUGUCUCAACAGCCCACCCGGCGAAAUUGUAGUACCGGUGAAGAUGCCGGUUACCCGCGACAAGACGGAAAGACCCCAUGGAGCUUUACUGCAGCCUAAUAUUGGAUUUCGGUAUUUCAUGUACAGGAUAGGUGGGAGACUAGGAAACACAGGCGUCAGCUUGUGCGGAGUCGACCUUGGGAUACCACCCUUGAAGUGCUGGAAUUCUAACCUGUGGCCAUGAAUCUGGUCAGGGGACAUUGUUAGGCGGGCAGUUUGACUGGGGCGGUCGCCUCCAAAAGAGUAACGGAGGCGCUCA